Molecule: ribosomal RNA, 253 nt
Filed under: uncultured bacterium
Lineage: Bacteria
Description: partial 16S ribosomal RNA
Rfam family: Bacterial small subunit ribosomal RNA
Source: RNAcentral
UACGUAGGGUGCAAGCGUUAUCCGGAAUUAUUGGGCGUAAAGAGCUCGUAGGCGGUUUGUCGCGUCUGCUGUGAAAACUGGAGGCUCAACCUCCAGCCUGCAGUGGGUACGGGCAGACUAGAGUGCGGUAGGGGAGAUUGGAAUUCCUGGUGUAGCGGUGGAAUGCGCAGAUAUCAGGAGGAACACCAAUGGCGAAGGCAGAUCUCUGGGCCGUAACUGACGCUGAGGAGCGAAAGCAUGGUGAGCGAACAGG